GUUCAGCAGCUGGGCUGCAGGGAUCUCAGUGGGCCUGGGUGCUGGGUACCAGGGAGUUGGACUGCAGGGAUCUCAGUGGGGAGGGGGCUGGGCUACAGGACCCGGCAGGGGGCUGGGUGCCAGGGAGCUGGGCUGCAGGGAUCCCAGCAGGGCAGGGAGCUGAGGUGCAGGGAUUCCAGCAGGGCACAUUGCUGGGUGCCGGGGUGCUGGGCUGCAGGGAUCAGAGGCACAGGGUGCUGGGUGUCAGGGAGCUACAUUGCAGGGGUCCCAGUGGGACAGGGUGCUGAGUGCCAGGGAUCUGGGUUGCAGAGGUCCCAGCGGGGCAGGGAGCUGGGUGCCAGGGGGCUGACUGGAGCUCUGCAGGGAUCCCAGCAGUGCACUUGCCCCUAGUACACUUCCCACCAUGGCUGGGUCCGACCUGGUGCAGGAGCUGCAGUUGGAGGUUACCUGCUCCAUCUGCACCAAGUACAUGGAGGUGCCUGUGAUGCUGGACUGUGGGCACAACUACUGUGAGGACUGCAUCAGCCGGCACUGGGACAGGGUGGAAGAGGAGGAGGAGCCAAGGCAGUGCCCCCUGUGCCGCCGGUCCUUCCGACAGCGCAGCUUCCACCACAACAAGUCGCUGGCCAACAUGGCGGAGAUCGUGCAGCGGUUCCCCUACCAGGAUAAGGCCCAGCAUGUGCGCUCCACAUCCAGCUCCACCGUGGGGAAGGACCCCCAGGGGCAGCAGGAGAGUUUCAGGCAGCGUCUGGAGACUCUGAAGAGGGACCUGGAGAUUGUGCUGAGCCUCCCAUGCGAUGGAGAGAUGCGAGAGCACUGCGACCUCCAAGCAGGCGCCGCUGACAACUCACUAUCUGCCUUGCAGCAUCUGCUCCACUUCCUGCAGGAUGGGCAGCAGAUGAUCCUUCAGAAGCUGCAGGAGAUGGAGGAGAGGAAUGGCACAAGGGAGGAGGGGGAAGAGGAGCCAGACCCAGAGCAGCAGGAUGAAAAUAUCACCUUGAGCAGGUCUGGCAGUGAGAAGUCCUCUAAGUCCCGCUCACAGUCGCCAGAGCCGUGUGACUGCCGGCUGCCCCUGCUGAACAGCGUCCAGAGGAUACAGAUGAUGGGUUACAGAGUGGACGUGACUCUGAAUCCUAAAACAGCCAACCCUCAGCUUGUCCUGUCCAGUGACAGGAGGAGUGUGCGUCUUGGAGAUGAGCGGAAGGACCUGCUCAACUGCCACGAGAGAUUCGACACAGCUCCUUGCGUCCUGGCCAAUGAAGGGUUCUCAUUUGGCAGAUAUUACUGGGAAGUGGAGGUGUGGGAUGCUGGCUGCUGGGCUGUGGGAGUGGCCAGGAAGUCAGUGAAAAGGAAGGGACAUCUCAGACUCACACCUGAGCAUGGCUUCUGGACUAUCGAGAUGCACAUGGGCAAAUACUGGGCUCUCAACACCUCCCUGGCCCUUGUGUACUGCAACGAGAGGCUUCACAGGGUUGGGAUUUACCUCGACUACACGGAGGGGCAGGUGGCCUUUUACAAUGCUGAGUCCUUGGCCCAUCUCUACACUUUCACCACCUCUUUCACGGAGGAAAUUUUCCCUUUCUUCUACACCAAGGACAAGACGACCCCACUGGUCAUUAAUAGGUCCGAGAUUGAGGGAUGGAUUCCUCUGACUGAACAGACACAGCCUAGUCCAGCCCCCAUCAUUUGACUUGUGUGUGCCUUCCACUGUCCCUGGAACAGACAGAACAUGAGCAUGUCGCUCACAUCCACUUUGCAGUCAAAUGUCCCAUUUUAAUGCCAUUUAAACAUUGCCUUUGGAUUUUUUUUUCUGACUGAAAGUUUGUCAACGUGGAUCUUGGACACUGUGGGGUUGGUGAUGCUGCCAUUCCCUUGAAACCAUCACACCAUGGACCAACCUGGCAUUGCCACAGCAACAAUGCCUUCGUCGUCAUGGCAACUGUGGCCUGUGGAUGUGAAAAAACCCUC
Mauremys reevesii (Reeves's turtle) is the source of this 1968-nucleotide RNA transcript. It is a transcript of the gene named E3 ubiquitin-protein ligase TRIM39-like, with no coding region annotated. The transcript has 7 exons. The record is from RefSeq and is a predicted model, not a curated record. Lineage: Eukaryota; Metazoa; Chordata; Testudines; Geoemydidae.